CUCCUACGGGAGGCAGCAGUGAGGAAUAUUGGUCAAUGGGCGAGAGCCUGAACCAGCCAAGUAGCGUGAAGGAUGACUGCCCUAUGGGUUGUAAACUUCUUUUAUAAAGGAAUAAAGUCGGGUAUGCAUACCCGUUUGCAUGUACUUUAUGAAUAAGGAUCGGCUAACUCCGUGCCAGCAGCCGCGGUAAUACGGAGGAUCCGAGCGUUAUCCGGAUUUAUUGGGUUUAAAGGGUGCGUAGGCGGCCUUUUAAGUCAGCGGUGAAAGUCUGUGGCUCAACCAUAGAAUUGCCGUUGAAACUGGGGGGCUUGAGUAUGUUUGAGGCAGGCGGAAUGCGUGGUGUAGCGGUGAAAUGCAUAGAUAUCACGCAGAACCCCGAUUGCGAAGGCAGCCUGCCAAGCCAUUACUGACGCUGAUGCACGAAAGCGUGGGGAUCAAACAGGAUUAGAUACCCUGGUAGUCCACGCAGUAAACGAUGAUCACUAGCUGUUUGCGAUACACUGUAAGCGGCACAGCGAAAGCGUUAAGUGAUCCACCUGGGGAGUACGCCGGCAACGGUGAAACUCAAAGGAAUUGACGGGGGCCCGCACAAGCGGAGGAACAUGUGGUUUAAUUCGAUGAUACGCGAGGAACCUUACCCGGGUUUGAACGCAUUCGGACCGAGGUGGAAACACCUUUUCUAGCAAUAGCCGUUUGCGAGGUGCUGCAUGGUUGUCGUCAGCUCGUGCCGUGAGGUGUCGGCUUAAGUGCCAUAACGAGCGCAACUCUUGCCACUAGUUACUAACAGGUAAAGCUGAGGACUCUGACAAGACUGCCAUCGUAAGAUGUGAGGAAGGUGGGGAUGACGUCAAAUCAGCACGGCCCUUACGUCCGGGGCUACACACGUGUUACAAUGGGGGGUACAGAGGGCCGCUACCACGCGAGUGGAUGCCAAUCCCCAAAACCUCUCUCAGUUCGGACUGGAGUCUGCAACCCGACUCCACGAAGCUGGAUUCGCUAGUAAUCGCGCAUCAGCCACGGCGCGGUGAAUACGUUCCCGGGCCUUGUACACACCGC
RNAcentral lists this ribosomal RNA (1056 nucleotides) under uncultured bacterium. RNAcentral's name for it is "bacterial SSU rRNA". It matches the Rfam family "Bacterial small subunit ribosomal RNA", at positions 336 to 1393 of the family's 1533-position model. The record is from RNAcentral.